This 238-nucleotide ribosomal RNA is filed under the name uncultured bacterium. RNAcentral describes it as "partial 16S ribosomal RNA". It matches the Rfam family "Bacterial small subunit ribosomal RNA", at positions 118 to 344 of the family's 1533-position model. The record is from RNAcentral.
UGGGUAACCUGCCUCAAAGAGGGGAAUAGCCUCCCGAAAGGGAGAUUAAUACCGCAUAAUAUGUUUAGGUCGCAUGACUUUAACAUCAAAGGAUUUUCUUUUAGAAAUUCCACUUUGAGAUGGACCCGCGGCGCAUUAGCUAGUUGGUGAGGUAACGGCUCACAAGGCAACGAUGCGUAGCCGACCUGAGAGGGUGAUCGGCCACAUUGGAACUGAGACACGGUCCAGACUCCGUAGG